CAUAAUCUGAAGGUCGUGAGUUCGA
RNAcentral lists this non-coding RNA (25 nucleotides) under Bos taurus (domestic cattle). RNAcentral also lists the same sequence under 2 other names. Lineage: Eukaryota; Metazoa; Chordata; Mammalia; Artiodactyla; Bovidae. The record is from RNAcentral.